This 331-nucleotide ribosomal RNA is filed under the name uncultured fungus. Its description in RNAcentral is "eukaryotic LSU rRNA". The stretch from base 276 to 331 matches the Rfam family "Eukaryotic large subunit ribosomal RNA", at positions 1 to 56 of the family's 3401-position model. Lineage: Eukaryota; Fungi. The record is from RNAcentral.
GUGAGUCAUCGAGUCUUUGAACGCACCUUGCACUCGUUGGGUAACUGGCGAGUAUGCCUGUUUGAGAAUCAUGGUAUCACAUCUUGCUUCCGGUUCGGGAGCAGACUUGGGGGUUCUGUCGUGGUGCGUGCUGCCCUGCCUGCGUGGCGCGCACCGGGCAGUCCCCUUGAAUGCAGCGGGUCUGGCAGCCGGACAUUGUGUGUUGGAGGCCAGUCGGUCUACUCACAGUGCGUCCGGCCGGCACCGGGCCCAGCGUGUCCGCGUCGUCCUUUCUGUGAUCUCAAAUCAGGCAAGACUACCCGCUGAACUUAAGCAUAUCAAUAAGCGGAGG